GACGAACGCUGGCGGCGUGCUUAACACAUGCAAGUCGAACGGAAAGGCCCUGCUUUUGUGGGGUGCUCGAGUGGCGAACGGGUGAGUAACACGUGAGUAACCUGCCCUUGACUUUGGGAUAACUUCAGGAAACUGGGGCUAAUACCGGAUAGGAGCUCCUGCUGCAUGGUGGGGGUUGGAAAGUUUCGGCGGUUGGGGAUGGACUCGCGGCUUAUCAGCUUGUUGGUGGGGUAGUGGCUUACCAAGGCUUUGACGGGUAGCCGGCCUGAGAGGGUGACCGGCCACAUUGGGACUGAGAUACGGCCCAGACUCCUCCGGGAGGCAGCAGUGGGGAAUAUUGCACAAUGGGCGGAAGCCUGAUGCAGCAACGCCGCGUGCGGGAUGACGGCAUUCGGGUUGUAAACCGCUUUCGCCUGUGACGAAGCGUGAGUGACGGUAAUGGGUAAAGAAGCACCGGCUAACUACGUG
RNAcentral lists this ribosomal RNA (468 nucleotides) under uncultured bacterium. RNAcentral's name for it is "partial 16S ribosomal RNA". It matches the Rfam family "Bacterial small subunit ribosomal RNA", at positions 28 to 507 of the family's 1533-position model. The record is from RNAcentral.